GAUGAACGCUGGUGGCGUGCCUAAUACAUGCAAGUCGAGCGAACGGACGAGAAGCUUGCUUUUCUGAUGUUAGCGGCGGACGGGUGAGUAACACGUGGAUAACCUACCUAUAAGACUGGGAUAACUUCGGGAAACCGGAGCUAAUACCGGAUAAUAUUUUGAACCGCAUGGUUCAAAAGUGAAAGACGGUCUUGCCGUCACUUAUAGAUGGAUCCGCGCUGCAUUAGCUAGUUGGUAAGGUAACGGCUUACCAAGGCAACGAUGCAUAGCCGACCUGAGAGGGUGAUCGGCCACACUGGAACUGAGACACGGUCCAGACUCCUACGGGAGGCAGCAGUAGGGAAUCUUCCGCAAUGGGCGAAAGCCUGACGGAGCAACGCCGCGUGAGUGAUGAAGGUCUUCGGAUCGUAAAACUCUAUUAUUAGGGAAGAACAUAUGUGUAAGUAACUGUGCACAUCUUGACGGUACCUAAUCAGAAAGCCACGGCUAACUACGUG
Molecule: ribosomal RNA, 497 nt
Filed under: uncultured bacterium
Lineage: Bacteria
Description: partial 16S ribosomal RNA
Rfam family: Bacterial small subunit ribosomal RNA
Source: RNAcentral